CGGGUGAGUAACGCGUAGGAACCUGUCAUCCGGUGGGGGAUAACGCUGGGAAACCGGCGCUAAUACCGCAUGGGAGGGUCUGGCGAGUGCCGGAUUCUGAAAGGAGCAAUCCGCCCGAUGAGGGGCCUGCGUCCGAUUAGCUGGUUGGUGGGGUAAAGGCCUACCAAGGCGACGAUCGGUAGCUGGUCUGAGAGGAUGGUCAGCCACACUGGGACUGAGACACGGCCCAG
This 230-nucleotide ribosomal RNA is filed under the name uncultured bacterium. RNAcentral's name for it is "partial 16S ribosomal RNA". It matches the Rfam family "Bacterial small subunit ribosomal RNA", at positions 103 to 334 of the family's 1533-position model. The record is from RNAcentral.